Molecule: small RNA, 94 nt
Filed under: Klebsiella pneumoniae
Lineage: Bacteria; Pseudomonadati; Pseudomonadota; Gammaproteobacteria; Enterobacterales; Enterobacteriaceae
Description: partial RtT sRNA
Rfam family: RtT RNA
About the family: This family represents a bacterial cis-regulatory element known as RtT RNA.
Source: RNAcentral
AAGGUUCGACUCGAGCGAAGCGAGAGAACGUUGCCGCUGGCAAUGGCCCGAAGGCGAGGCGCUUUAGCGCCGAGUAAUCCUUCCCCCACCACUG